RNAcentral lists this transfer RNA (72 nucleotides) under Nitrososphaerota archaeon. RNAcentral describes it as "tRNA-Ala". It matches the Rfam family "tRNA". Rfam says of the family: Transfer RNA (tRNA) molecules are approximately 80 nucleotides in length. Their secondary structure includes four short double-helical elements and three loops (D, anti-codon, and T loops). Lineage: Archaea; Thermoproteati; Nitrososphaerota. The record is from RNAcentral. RNAcentral also lists the same sequence under 2 other names.
GGGCCGGUAGAUCAGCGGCAGAUCACCCGGUUUGCACCCGGGAGGCCGCGGGUUCGAAUCCCGCCCGGUCCA